GGCUGAGGAAACCUUUGACCUUCCCUGAUCCAUAGUGGAUGGUGAAUUCAGUCCCAUUCUCCAUGUAGCUAGAGGAUUCCGAGGAGUCAUAGAGGUUGUGAAUCUCUAGCAGAGGAACACAGGCUCCAAUCAGCACACUCCUCGGCUGCACGUAGGAGUUCUACAGAGCGCUCUGGUGCUCUCUGCCUCAGUCAGACAUGGUGUGGAAGGAGUGGGGACUGCUCGGCCCAGAGAGAAGGAAAUAGCAGAUGAACCAGCACUCACAUCCAAGUAGUUGGAUUUCCCGGACCGAGGGCAUUUUCUUGAGCAAGAUUCUGCUCCAGGAUAGAGGAAGAAAAACAGAAGAGUCCUGUAGUACUCCAAUGUCAGCAGAAACCAGAGGCUGCCUUUUUUUUUUUUUUUUUUUUUUUUUUUUUUUUUUUUUUGCUACAUCUAUCACUAACCCUCUCCCAUGCAAUUACGAAUCACUUUUUGUGCCCUGGGGUUUCUGCAGGAGAAGGUACGAGCUUCUUGGAGUCACUUAUUCUGGUACUAAAUAAUUCCCAGAUCGUAUUUUAGUUAAAUAAGGCAGUUUGUCCAUCCGUCUGUCUGUCCGUCUGUCCAUCCGUCCAUUCAUCCAUACAUCCACCCACCCACCCACCCACCUACCCACCCACCCACCCACCCAUCCAUCAUUAUCAUCAUGUGUUGAAACACCUACUCUGUGCCUCACUGUUCUGGAUAGGAACAUAAAGGUCUAUACUGCCUCUUGCUAUCGCCUCUGAUUGACAGGGGAGGCAGUACCAGGGGUGGCCUGUAGGUGGCAGAAGAUGCCCACAGCAGGCUGCAAGGACUUGGUACCCCCUAGGGUGUCACAGAGCCAGGUGGUAUGUACCCACUGCACCCAGUCUGCCUCGGGUAGACCAGUGUCUGUAGAUUGCCUGUGUGCCUCACCUGGGGAUUGAUGUGUCUUGGGCCUGAACCCCCAGACUCCUCACCUCAAAUCAGUUGUCCUCCAAUCAUCACUGACUGGGGAAAUUCAAGAGAUUUAAUUUUGAACAGCGGCCCGCUGAGCUGCUACUGGCUGCAGACCAGCUGCCUGGCACGCGCCCUCAUACAAACCACAUGACAGCUAGCUCCCUGUUUUCCAGCCAAGACAUUGCAGCUUCAUAGGACUGAAGAUGACUCAGAAAUGCCAAGCAGAGACAGUCCAUGCUCUGUCUGUCUGUCUGUCUUUCCUACCAGGGCUGCCAGGCACAGAGAGGCAUGGAGACUGUUUUUUGUCUGGAGGAAGAUGCCGCCAGCCCUGGGUCAGGGCUUUCCCAGACACCCAGAGAGCCUUCUUUGUUCUCCAACGUGAGCCCUAACCUUCCUCCUGGCACUCCACGCCCUCACCUCCCUGCUUUACUUAUAUUUCACACCUCUCUGUGCAAUCUCUAGCAGAAACAGUCCCAUCACAGCUUACGAGUGUUUUCACUCCUGUUUUAUUUGACCCCAGCCAUUCCAUCAGAUGGGUGUUUUUUAUUUCCCCACUUUACAAAGGAGGAGAAGGGAAUAUAUAUCCAAAAAGGUCUAUUUCCCACCAUCUCCUGAAAAGACCCAUGCUUUUCUGUACUUUACGGACCCUUCCUCUUUUAGAAAACCCCUCUGUGGUGUGGUGGCACAUGCCUUUAACUUCAGCCUUCAGGAGGCAAAGGAAGGCUGAUUUUGCGAGUUUGAGGACAGCCAGGUCUAUAGAGUGAGUUCCGGGCUCCGUUGGGAGGCUCUGUCCCAAAAGAAGAUAAACAUAAAACCUGCUUCUGUUCCUCUCC
Rattus norvegicus (Norway rat) is the source of this 1790-nucleotide long non-coding RNA. RefSeq lists it as uncharacterized. Lineage: Eukaryota; Metazoa; Chordata; Mammalia; Rodentia; Muridae. The record is from RefSeq and is a predicted model, not a curated record.